UACGUAGGGAGCAAGCGUUGUCCGGAAUUAUUGGGCGUAAAGAGCUCGUAGGCGGCUUGUCGCGUCGGUUGUGAAAGCCCGGGGCUUAACCCCGGGUCUGCAGUCGAUACGGGCAGGCUAGAGUUCGGUAGGGGAGAUCGGAAUUCCUGGUGUAGCGGUGAAAUGCGCAGAUAUCAGGAGGAACACCGGUGGCGAAGGCGGAUCUCUGGGCCGAUACUGACGCUGAGGAGCGAAAGCGUGGGGAGCAAACGGG
This 253-nucleotide ribosomal RNA is filed under the name uncultured bacterium. RNAcentral's name for it is "partial 16S ribosomal RNA". It matches the Rfam family "Bacterial small subunit ribosomal RNA", at positions 524 to 776 of the family's 1533-position model. The record is from RNAcentral.